CCGUUCGGAGAUGUUGUCCACGCACUCAGGGACUCCCUCGAGGCGUUGCUCCCGGCGUUCUACCGCUUCGCCGGUGCGCUGGUCUACUCGCCGGAGGAGGAGGAGGAGGAGGAGGGGUCACUGUCCAUCGUCGUGGAGGCCGGCGGCGGCGUGGCAUUAGUGGAGGCCGAGGCAUUCGUGGCAUCGGUGGUGCGCUCGCCGCGGGGGAUGAUGGCGGUGGGGCUAGGGCUGCGCUUUGCCAUGCAGCAGCAGCCGAUGGUCUUCGCAUCGCCUCCGCUGCCGCCGCCGCAGAUUUGGCUUCAGCGGGUCCAGGACUGGAGCGGUGCUAGUGCCACGGAGAGAUGGGGAUGGUGGCACCCCGGCGAGAACGUUGCCGCCCCGGCGGCCACCGAGCCUCCUGCUCCUGCCGCCAACUUCCCGAGUCUCUGUGAGGUCGCCGCGGGCGCGGCCGGCGGC
This 456-nucleotide long non-coding RNA is filed under the name Oryza sativa Indica Group (long-grained rice). RNAcentral's name for it is "lncRNA OsZS97_01G004670". The record is from RNAcentral. Lineage: Eukaryota; Viridiplantae; Streptophyta; Magnoliopsida; Poales; Poaceae.